This 26-nucleotide non-coding RNA is filed under the name Mus musculus (house mouse). The record is from RNAcentral. Lineage: Eukaryota; Metazoa; Chordata; Mammalia; Rodentia; Muridae.
UACCUCUUUGGGCCCUCAGUUUACCC